RNAcentral lists this ribosomal RNA (459 nucleotides) under uncultured bacterium. RNAcentral describes it as "partial 16S ribosomal RNA". It matches the Rfam family "Bacterial small subunit ribosomal RNA", at positions 338 to 795 of the family's 1533-position model. The record is from RNAcentral.
CCUACGGGUGGCAGCAGUGAGGAAUAUUGGUCAAUGGGCGCGAGCCUGAACCAGCCAAGUCGCGUGAGGGAAGACGGUCCUAUGGAUUGUAAACCUCUUUUGUCGGGGAGCAAAAGUCUCCACGCGUGGCUUUUUGAGUGUACCCUAAGAAAAAGCAUCGGCUAACUCCGUGCCAUCAGCCGCGGUAAUACGGAGGAUGCGAGCCUUAUCCGGAUUUAUUUGGUUUAAAGGGUGCGUAGGGUGAUGAUAAAGUCAGGGGUAAAAUUGAGUGGCUAAACCUAUUAGUGCCGUUGAAACUGGUUGUCUUGAGUGAGUGAGAGGUAGGCGGAAUGCGUGGUGGAGCGGUGAAAUGCAUAGAUAUCACGCAGAACUCCGAGUGCGAAGGCAGCAUACUGGCGCACAACUGACGCUGAAGCACGAAAGUGUGGGUAUCGAACAGGAUUAGAUACCCUUGUAGUC